AAUCAACGCUGGCGGCGUGCCUAACACAUGCAAGUCGCACGAGAAAGGGACUUCGGUCCUGAGUACAGUGGCGCACGGGUGAGUAACACGUGAAUAAUCUACCUCCGAGUGGGGAAUAACCUAGAGAAAUCUGGGCUAAUACCGCAUAACACUUACGAGUCAAAGCAGCAAUGCGCUUGGAGAGGAGUUCGCGGCAGAUUAGUUAGUUGGCAGGGUAAUGGCCACCAAGACGAUGAUCUGUAUCCGGCCUGAGAGGGCGCACGGACACACUGGAACUGAAACACGGUCCAGACUCCUACGGGAGGCAGCAGUGGGGAAUUUUGCGCAAGUGGGGGAAACCCUGACGCAGCAACGCCGCGUGGAGGAU
RNAcentral lists this ribosomal RNA (367 nucleotides) under uncultured bacterium. Its description in RNAcentral is "bacterial SSU rRNA". It matches the Rfam family "Bacterial small subunit ribosomal RNA", at positions 32 to 409 of the family's 1533-position model. The record is from RNAcentral.